GCCAGGCAUGGUGCCGCAUGCCUGUAGUCCCAGCUACUCGGGAGGCUGAGGCAGGAGAAUCGCUUGAACCCGGGAGAUGGAGGUUGCAGUGAGCCAAGAUCAUGCCAUUGCACUCCAGCCUGGGUGACAGAGUGAGACUCUGUCUCAA
Molecule: non-coding RNA, 148 nt
Filed under: Pan troglodytes (chimpanzee)
Lineage: Eukaryota; Metazoa; Chordata; Mammalia; Primates; Hominidae
Source: Rfam by way of RNAcentral